AUAUGCCUUUAGGUGGGGGACAACAGUUGGAAACGACUGCUAAUACCGCAUAAUGUCUACGGACCAAAGAGGGGGACCUUCGGGCCUCUUGCCUUUAGAUUAGCCCAAGUGAGAUUAGCUUGAUGGUGGGGUAAUGGCCUACCAUGGCGACGAUCUCUAGCUGGUUUGAGAGGAUGAUCAGCCACACUGGGACUGGGACACGGCCCAGACUCCUACGGGAGGCAGCAGUGGGGAAUAUUGCACAAUGGGCGAAAGCCUGAUGCAGCCAUGCCGCGUGUGUGAAGAAGGCCUUCGGGUUGUAAAGCACUUUCAGUCGUGAGGAAAGGAGUGUAGUUAAUAGCUGCACUCUGUGACGUUAGCGACAGAAGAAGGACCGGCUAACUCCGUGCCAGCAGCCGCGGUAAUACGGAGGGUCCGAGCGUUAAUCGGAAUUACUGGGCGUAAAGCGUGCGUAGGCGGUUCAUUAAGUCAGAUGUGAAAUCCCGGGGCUCAACCUCGGAACUGCAUUUGAAAAUGGUGAACUAGAGUAUUGUAGAGGGUGGUGGAAUUUCCAGUGUAGCGGUGAAAUGCGUAGAGAUUGGAAGGAACAUCAGUGGCGAAGGCGGCCACCUGGACAAAUACUGACGCUGAGGCACGAAAGCGUGGGGAGCAAACAG
This 656-nucleotide ribosomal RNA is filed under the name uncultured bacterium. Its description in RNAcentral is "bacterial SSU rRNA". It matches the Rfam family "Bacterial small subunit ribosomal RNA", at positions 124 to 775 of the family's 1533-position model. The record is from RNAcentral.